AGCAGCCGCGGUAAUUCCAGCUCCAAUAGCGUAUAUUAAAGUUGUUGUGGUUAAAAAGCUCGUAGUAGAACCUUGGGCCUGGCUGGCCGGUCCGCCUCACCGCGUGCACUGGUCCGGCCGGGCCUUUCCCUCUGUGGAACCGCGUGCCCUUCACUGGGUGUGCCGGGGAAACAGGACUUUUACUUUGAAAAAAUUUAGAGUGCUCCAGGCAGGCCUAUGCUCGAAUACAUUAGCAUGGAAUAAUAGAAUAGGACGUGUGGUUCUAUUUUGUUGGUUUCUAGGACCGCCGUAAUGAUUAAUAGGGACAGUCGGGGGCGAUCAGUAUUCAAUUGUCAGAGGUGAAAUUCUUGGAUUUAUUGAAGACUAACUACUGCGAAAGCAUUUGCCAAGGAUGUUUUCAUUUAUCAGGAACGAAAGUUAGGGGAUCGAAGACGAUCAGAUACCGUCGUAGUCUUAACCAUAAACUAUGCCGACUAGGGAUCGGACGAUGUUAUUUUUUGACUCGUUCGGCACCUUACGG
This 520-nucleotide unclassified non-coding RNA is filed under the name uncultured Paraglomus. Its description in RNAcentral is "SSU rRNA". It matches the Rfam family "Eukaryotic small subunit ribosomal RNA", at positions 569 to 1093 of the family's 1831-position model. Lineage: Eukaryota; Fungi; Glomeromycota; Glomeromycetes; Paraglomerales; Paraglomeraceae. The record is from RNAcentral.